ACACGCAUGACACACUGCAUAUCAAUAAGCGGAGGAAAAGAAACUAACAAGGAUUCCCCUAGUAACGGCGAGUGAAGCGGGAAGAGCUCAAAUUUGAAAUCUUAAAGGGUUUCCCUUUACGAAUUGUAGUUUAAAGAAGUGUUUUCUGUUGGAGUUUCGGUAAAAGUUCUUUGGAAUAGGACAUCAUAGAGGGUGAGAAUCCCGUAUUUGACCGUUACUUUCCAGCUGUGUGAUACACUUUCAAAGAGUCGGAUUGUUUGGGAAUGCAGUCCAAGAUGGGUGGUAAAUUUCAUCUAAAGCUAAAUAUUGGCGAGAGACCGAUAGCGAACAAGUACCGUGAGGGAAAGAUGAAAAGAACUUUGAAAAGAGAGUUAAACAGUACGUGAAAUUGUCAAAAGGGAAGCGUUUGACACCAGUGUUGUUUAGUUGAAAAUCAAUUCAAUAAUUUUUGAUUUUAAGUAGUAUUGACUUCAUCAGCUUGCUGCUUUCUUUUCCGGAAAUUAUUGAAUGCACUUUUCAGUUAACAAGUCAACAUCAAUUUCUUUUGUUGUAAAAGGGUAAGAGGAAGGUGGCUUACGCUUCGGCGUAAGUGUUUAUAGCCUUUUACCUCUGCAAUCGGAGAGAUUGAGGACAGCAGCGUAGACUCCUUCGGGGGUUAGAUACACUUGUGCUAAGCUAUAGCCUUGUAUAGACAACUUGUUGACUAUGCUCAGUCAUGUAGCUUACUCGCUUGUGCUAUUUUACCUACGCUUAGGAUGUUGAGCGCAUGUCUCUCUCU
RNAcentral lists this ribosomal RNA (778 nucleotides) under uncultured Neocallimastigales. Its description in RNAcentral is "partial large subunit ribosomal RNA". It matches the Rfam family "Eukaryotic large subunit ribosomal RNA", at positions 23 to 616 of the family's 3401-position model. Lineage: Eukaryota; Fungi; Neocallimastigomycota; Neocallimastigomycetes; Neocallimastigales. The record is from RNAcentral.